GAUGAACGCUGGCGGCGUGCCUAAUACAUGCAAGUCGAGCGAACAGAUGAGGAGCUUGCUCCUCUGACGUUAGCGGCGGACGGGUGAGUAACACGUGGAUAACCUACCUAUAAGACUGGGAUAACUUCGGGAAACCGGAGCUAAUACCGGAUAAUACAUUGAACCGCAUGGUUCAAUAGUGAAAGACGGUUUUGCUGUCACUUAUAGAUGGAUCCGCGCCGCAUUAGCUAGUUGGUAAGGUAACGGCUUACCAAGGCAACGAUGCGUAGCCGACCUGAGAGGGUGAUCGGCCACACUGGAACUGAGACACGGUCCAGACUCCUACGGGAGGCAGCAGUAGGGAAUCUUCCGCAAAGGGCGAAAGCCUGACGGAGCAACGCCGCGUGAGUGAUGAAGGUCUUCGGAUCGUAAAACUCUGUUAUUAGGGAAGAACAAAUGUGUAAGUAACUAUGCACGUCUUGACGGUACCUAAUCAGAAAGCCACGGCUAACUACGUG
Molecule: ribosomal RNA, 497 nt
Filed under: uncultured bacterium
Lineage: Bacteria
Description: partial 16S ribosomal RNA
Rfam family: Bacterial small subunit ribosomal RNA
Source: RNAcentral